GAUGAAGAACGUAGUGAAAUGCGAUAAGUAAUGUGAAUUGCAGAAUUCAGUGAAUCAUCGAAUCUUUGAACGCACAUUGCGCCCGCCAGUAUUCUGGCGGGCAUGCCUGUUCGAGCGUCAUUACAACCCUCAGGCCCCCGGGCCUGGCGUUGGGGAUCGGCGGAGCCCCCCGUGGGCACACGCCGUCCCCCAAAUGCAGUGGCGGUCCCGCCGCAGCUUCCAUCGCGUAGUAGCUAACACCUCGCGACUGGAGAGCGGCGCGGCCACGCCGUAAAACACCCAACUCUUCUGAAGUUGACCACGAAUCAGGUAGGAAUACCCGCUGAACUUAAGCAUAUCAAUAAGCGGAGGA
This 352-nucleotide unclassified non-coding RNA is filed under the name soil metagenome. RNAcentral describes it as "partial contains 5.8S ribosomal RNA, internal transcribed spacer 2, and large subunit ribosomal RNA". The stretch from base 1 to 120 matches the Rfam family "5.8S ribosomal RNA", at positions 35 to 154 of the family's 154-position model. The record is from RNAcentral.